Molecule: ribosomal RNA, 253 nt
Filed under: uncultured prokaryote
Description: partial 16S ribosomal RNA
Rfam family: Bacterial small subunit ribosomal RNA
Source: RNAcentral
ACAGAGGGUGCGAGCGUUGUCCGGAAUCACUGGGCGUAAAGGGCGCGUAGGUGGCUUGGUAAGCGUGCGGUGAAAGCUCGAGGCUCAACCUCGAGUCUGCCGUGCGAACUGCCGAGCUGGAGCACGGUAGAGGCACAUGGAAUUCCGGGUGUAGCGGUGGAAUGCGUAGAGAUCCGGAAGAACACCUGAGGCGAAGGCGGCUUGCUGGGCAUGAUCUGACGCUGAGGCGCGAAAGCGUGGGGAGCAAACAGGA